Parasteatoda tepidariorum (common house spider) is the source of this 792-nucleotide non-coding RNA. NCBI's taxonomy places the organism in Eukaryota, Metazoa, Arthropoda, Arachnida, Araneae, Theridiidae. The record is from RefSeq and is a predicted model, not a curated record.
CAGUCCACAGAGAGACAUCGUGAUUUGUAAAAUGCAUUCCUCUGUGUAAAACUCACCAAUCACGUUCUUCAACUAUGUCGUCAAUGCCUUGCUCCGUCAGUUGCGUUAGCUUCAUUGUUUUAGUGAAAAUAGUUCUUUAUUUUUUUAUAUUUAAUUUGAGUCAACUGUCAAUUACCAGUUAACUAGAACCGCGAAUUUUUUUAUAAUAAAGUUUGUUGGCAAAAUAAAUCCGGAAAAAUUAUUUAUUAUUAACUUGUUGAAUAAUGAAAUAACUAUUUUAAAGUAGACUACUGUUAUUACGAGCACUUUGUUAAAUAAAUUAUUAGAGAUUUUAGUUUCAAUAAAUAGACGAUAAACCUACUCUUUUUGUUUACUUUCAGUAUCAUUAUUUAGAAAUUGAGAUUUGCUGCUUCAUCUGUUUGUAGAUGAAGUCAUCCAAUUAAAAAAAUACGUAUGGAUUCCAUUAUAAUUAAAAAGCUCUUAAAGAAAUGGCCAUUCAUGUGAAGAUCAGAUGCAGUAUUUAACUCUUGAUGAUUGACCACAUGGCAGUCCAAACUAUUAUUCCAGAGCUAUCUUGGAUCUGUGCAUUGUUAUUUCUUGUUGUAGUAUUCUUGUUGGUUCUUACAUGUGUUUGCUUCAAAGAUCAUGAAAAAGCAGAAUAUGGUACUGUUGGUCGAUUGUCUAUUACAAGAGAUUCUCCUGUUCUGCAACGUCAAGUAACUAAAAAUUGCUAUACAUUUUAUUGAUUAAGAAAUAUUGAUUUCAUUUUGCUGUUUUCUGUAUACAUUUUUG